UUUUUUUUGUAAACAUAAAAUAGUAGGUUUUGACUAUAUUAAAACUUGAUUUGUCACUUGAUCCUUGACAUUUCUUUAAUUUAUGAAGUAUUGUUUCCCUGUUCAACAAGAAAUAAUUGAAUAAUUAAAUCUGGUCCAAGUAUGUGUGACUGACAAUGAGACAAUUCUCCAUCCAAGUCAUAAUUAGGUUCAGAACUACCCCUUAAUGAUAUGAAUAUCCCUUUUAUGAGGGGUCAAUAUCAGUUAUAAUAUUUUUUGUUGUUGUAAAAACACUUUUAGUACAAAAGGGCUAAUAUUUUCCCAAAGAACUAUAAUAUCUAUAUGGUAUUAAAUGAUCAAAACAUGUCCAAGAAUUUUGUAAUAUUCCAGGACUUUAACCAUGUUAACACAUUUACGUUAACAGUUUAAUAUUAUUCAAAAUAAGUGGACCCAGUCUUUUAGAACAGUUGUUUAAAAUAUAAUGUAUUUCUCCUCUUUUUGAAUAAAAAAUUCUAAGUUUUCAAAGGUUUUAUAUAGUAGCACUAUACAAAUCCUUAGUAUUUCUGUUUUCGUUUCUACAACAGUAAACAUGGUAAAAUGACCCCUUCAAGGCCCUUGUCUGAGGGAUAACCUGAUAAUAACAAACUUGGGUCAAAGUAUGGCCUUUUACACAAGGCUUUGAUCCAGACCAAACAGCAAGCUAUAAGGGACCACAACUUAAAAUUGUACACAAUUCGAACAGGAAACCCAACGAUCCAAUUUAUAUUUCCAAACGGGAAAAUACCAAUGAAUCACAUCAACAAACGAUAACUGCUGAACGACAGGUCCCUGAAUCAAUCAGGACAGGUGCACAAACCUGCAGCGUGUAUGACCGUCAGCAUACAAUAAAAUUGCAGUUGAAGGCAAAUCCUUCACGAAUCAGAAGUUCUUUGUACUUUAUUUUAACAACGAACAUUUUUUGAUAGGGAAUAUAAGUCAGGGGGAAAGAAACCAGUGUUUUGAUCUGUACAGGUAUUUCCUUUGUUAUACAUUUAUAUCGGAGCACUCCCACUUGGAAUAAAUUGGUUUCAUGCUGAAACAAAUAUUCUCUCAGAUGUUUACAGUGUUGUAGGGUGCUUAUAGGUUUAAAAUCGUUAUAUACAGGUUAUACUGUGAUUUUAAAAACAAAUGUUGAGAUCUUUUUAUAAUAUUUACAAAAAAAACGGUGUGGGAAAUGGACACGAUUACAUUUCCGGAUGCGGGAAGCUGGAAUAUAAUAAAAAUUAAAAAAAUCUGUUUUUAAAAAAAUAGGUGCGGGCGGGUCCGUCGAACAAGGAAUUAAAUUGGUGUGGCCCAAUGUUCAGCCAAAGUAAGAUCUACAAAUAAGUCAACACGAACAAAAUGGUCAGUUGACCCCUUAAGGAGUUUUUGCCCUUUACAGUCAAUUUUUAACAAUUUUCAUUAAUUUUGUUCAAGUUCAUUAUAGAUGGAGAUAACUGUAAGUAGUAGGAAUGUUCAGUAAAGUAAGAUCCAUAAACACAUCACCAUCACCAAAACACAAUUUGGUCAUUAAUCCAUCUGUGUCUUUUUUUUUAAUAUGCACAUAUGCACAAGGUGAGCGACACAGGCUCUUAAGAGCCUCUAGUUAUAUUGUAACUAUAACAGUUGUAAACAAGUUAAAUUAAUCAGCAAAAAACAAGCUGCAGAAACUGACAAAUAUAAUGCUAAAAAACAUGAAUAAUUUAAUCUAUUAAAAUUGCACUUUCAGAAC
This 1729-nucleotide long non-coding RNA is filed under the name Mytilus galloprovincialis (Mediterranean mussel). The record is from RNAcentral. Lineage: Eukaryota; Metazoa; Mollusca; Bivalvia; Mytilida; Mytilidae.